RNAcentral lists this ribosomal RNA (440 nucleotides) under Ruegeria atlantica. Its description in RNAcentral is "bacterial SSU rRNA". It matches the Rfam family "Bacterial small subunit ribosomal RNA", at positions 12 to 500 of the family's 1533-position model. Lineage: Bacteria; Pseudomonadati; Pseudomonadota; Alphaproteobacteria; Rhodobacterales; Roseobacteraceae. The record is from RNAcentral.
UUUGAUCCUGGCUCAGAACGAACGCUGGCGGCAGGCUUAACACAUGCAAGUCGAGCGCACCUUCGGGUGAGCGGCGGACGGGUUAGUAACGCGUGGGAACAUACCCUUUGGUACGGAAUAGCCUCUGGAAACGGAGAGUAAUACCGUAUGAGCCCUUCGGGGGAAAGAUUUAUCGCCAAAGGAUUGGCCCGCGUUAGAUUAGGUAGUUGGUGGGGUAAUGGCCUACCAAGCCUACGAUCUAUAGCUGGUUUUAGAGGAUGAUCAGCAACACUGGGACUGAGACACGGCCCAGACUCCUACGGGAGGCAGCAGUGGGGAAUCUUGGACAAUGGGGGCAACCCUGAUCCAGCCAUGCCGCGUGAGUGAUGAAGGCCUUAGGGUCGUAAAGCUCUUUCGCCUGUGAAGAUAAUGACGGUAGCAGGUAAAGAAACCCCGGCUAA